This 420-nucleotide ribosomal RNA is filed under the name uncultured bacterium. RNAcentral's name for it is "bacterial SSU rRNA". It matches the Rfam family "Bacterial small subunit ribosomal RNA", at positions 356 to 774 of the family's 1533-position model. The record is from RNAcentral.
UGGGAAUAUUGGACAAUGGGCGGAAGCCUGAUCCAGCAACGCCGCGUGAGGGAUGACGGCCUUCGGGUUGUAAACCUCUUUCACCAUUGACGAAGCUGCAUCUUUUUGGGUGUGGUGACGGUAGGUGGGGAAGAAGCACCGGCCAACUACGUGCCAGCAGCCGCGGUAAUACGUAGGGUGCGAGCGUUGUCCGGAAUUAUUGGGCGUAAAGGGCUCGUAGGCGGUUUGUCGCGUCGGGAGUGAAAACCUUGGGCUUAACUCAGGGCUUGCUUUCGAUACGGGCAGACUAGAGGUAUGCAGGGGAGAACGGAAUUCCUGGUGUAGCGGUGAAAUGCGCAGAUAUCAGGAGGAACACCGGUGGCGAAGGCGGUUCUCUGGGCAUGAUCUGACGCUGAGGAGCGAAAGUGUGGGGAGCGAACA